This 594-nucleotide ribosomal RNA is filed under the name Saccharomyces cerevisiae (brewer's yeast). RNAcentral's name for it is "eukaryotic LSU rRNA". It matches the Rfam family "Eukaryotic large subunit ribosomal RNA", at positions 65 to 672 of the family's 3401-position model. Lineage: Eukaryota; Fungi; Ascomycota; Saccharomycetes; Saccharomycetales; Saccharomycetaceae. The record is from RNAcentral.
CCAACCGGGAUUGCCUUAGUAACGGCGAGUGAAGCGGCAAAAGCUCAAAUUUGAAAUCUGGUACCUUCGGUGCCCGAGUUGUAAUUUGGAGAGGGCAACUUUGGGGCCGUUCCUUGUCUAUGUUCCUUGGAACAGGACGUCAUAGAGGGUGAGAAUCCCGUGUGGCGAGGAGUGCGGUUCUUUGUAAAGUGCCUUCGAAGAGUCGAGUUGUUUGGGAAUGCAGCUCUAAGUGGGUGGUAAAUUCCAUCUAAAGCUAAAUAUUGGCGAGAGACCGAUAGCGAACAAGUACAGUGAUGGAAAGAUGAAAAGAACUUUGAAAAGAGAGUGAAAAAGUACGUGAAAUUGUUGAAAGGGAAGGGCAUUUGAUCAGACAUGGUGUUUUGUGCCCUCUGCUCCUUGUGGGUAGGGGAAUCUCGCAUUUCACUGGGCCAGCAUCAGUUUUGGUGGCAGGAUAAAUCCAUAGGAAUGUAGCUUGCCUCGGUAAGUAUUAUAGCCUGUGGGAAUACUGCCAGCUGGGACUGAGGACUGCGACGUAAGUCAAGGAUGCUGGCAUAAUGGUUAUAUGCCGCCCGUCUUGAAAAAACGGACCAAAAA